Molecule: transfer RNA, 67 nt
Filed under: Scaphoideus varius
Lineage: Eukaryota; Metazoa; Arthropoda; Insecta; Hemiptera; Cicadellidae
Description: tRNA-Leu
Source: RNAcentral
GAUGAUUUGGCAGAUUAGUGUGUUAAAUUUAGAGUUUAAUUAAGUACAUAAUAAAGUACAUUCAUUA